This 1617-nucleotide ribosomal RNA is filed under the name Pseudomonas aeruginosa. RNAcentral describes it as "bacterial LSU rRNA". It matches the Rfam family "Bacterial large subunit ribosomal RNA", at positions 660 to 2262 of the family's 2925-position model. The record is from RNAcentral. Lineage: Bacteria; Pseudomonadati; Pseudomonadota; Gammaproteobacteria; Pseudomonadales; Pseudomonadaceae.
GGGUAGGCGUAGCGAAAGCGAGUCUUAAUAGGGCGUUUAGUCGCUGGGUAUAGACCCGAAACCGGGCGAUCUAUCCAUGAGCAGGUUGAAGGUUAGGUAACACUGACUGGAGGACCGAACCCACUCCCGUUGAAAAGGUAGGGGAUGACUUGUGGAUCGGAGUGAAAGGCUAAUCAAGCUCGGAGAUAGCUGGUUCUCCUCGAAAGCUAUUUAGGUAGCGCCUCAUGUAUCACUCUGGGGGGUAGAGCACUGUUUCGGCUAGGGGGUCAUCCCGACUUACCAAACCGAUGCAAACUCCGAAUACCCAGAAGUGCCGAGCAUGGGAGACACACGGCGGGUGCUAACGUCCGUCGUGAAAAGGGAAACAACCCAGACCGCCAGCUAAGGUCCCAAAGUUGUGGUUAAGUGGUAAACGAUGUGGGAAGGCUUAGACAGCUAGGAGGUUGGCUUAGAAGCAGCCACCCUUUAAAGAAAGCGUAAUAGCUCACUAGUCGAGUCGGCCUGCGCGGAAGAUGUAACGGGGCUCAAACCACACACCGAAGCUGCGGGUGUCACGUAAGUGACGCGGUAGAGGAGCGUUCUGUAAGCCUGUGAAGGUGAGUUGAGAAGCUUGCUGGAGGUAUCAGAAGUGCGAAUGCUGACAUGAGUAACGACAAUGGGUGUGAAAAACACCCACGCCGAAAGACCAAGGGUUCCUGCGCAACGUUAAUCGACGCAGGGUUAGUCGGUUCCUAAGGCGAGGCUGAAAAGCGUAGUCGAUGGGAAACAGGUUAAUAUUCCUGUACUUCUGGUUACUGCGAUGGAGGGACGGAGAAGGCUAGGCCAGCUUGGCGUUGGUUGUCCAAGUUUAAGGUGGUAGGCUGAAAUCUUAGGUAAAUCCGGGGUUUCAAGGCCGAGAGCUGAUGACGAGUCGUCUUUUAGAUGACGAAGUGGUUGAUGCCAUGCUUCCAAGAAAAGCUUCUAAGCUUCAGGUAACCAGGAACCGUACCCCAAACCGACACAGGUGGUCGGGUAGAGAAUACCAAGGCGCUUGAGAGAACUCGGGUGAAGGAACUAGGCAAAAUGGCACCGUAACUUCGGGAGAAGGUGCGCCGGCUAGGGUGAAGGAUUUACUCCGUAAGCUCUGGCUGGUCGAAGAUACCAGGCCGCUGCGACUGUUUAUUAAAAACACAGCACUCUGCAAACACGAAAGUGGACGUAUAGGGUGUGACGCCUGCCCGGUGCCGGAAGGUUAAUUGAUGGGGUUAGCGCAAGCGAAGCUCUUGAUCGAAGCCCCGGUAAACGGCGGCCGUAACUAUAACGGUCCUAAGGUAGCGAAAUUCCUUGUCGGGUAAGUUCCGACCUGCACGAAUGGCGUAACGAUGGCGGCGCUGUCUCCACCCGAGACUCAGUGAAAUUGAAAUCGCUGUGAAGAUGCAGUGUAUCCGCGGCUAGACGGAAAGACCCCGUGAACCUUUACUGUAGCUUUGCACUGGACUUUGAGCCUGCUUGUGUAGGAUAGGUGGGAGGCUUUGAAGCGUGGACGCCAGUUCGCGUGGAGCCAUCCUUGAAAUACCACCCUGGCAUGCUUGAGGUUCUAACUCUGGUCCGUAAUCCGGAUCGAGGACAGUGUAUGGU